Molecule: transfer RNA, 71 nt
Filed under: Camelus bactrianus (Bactrian camel)
Lineage: Eukaryota; Metazoa; Chordata; Mammalia; Artiodactyla; Camelidae
Also listed under: 2 other names
Rfam family: tRNA
About the family: Transfer RNA (tRNA) molecules are approximately 80 nucleotides in length.
Source: Rfam by way of RNAcentral
GAGGGUAUAGCUCAGUGGAGAGCACAUGCUUAGCAUGCACGAGAUCCUGAGUUCAGUCCCCAGUCCCUCCA